RNAcentral lists this ribosomal RNA (258 nucleotides) under uncultured bacterium. RNAcentral's name for it is "partial 16S ribosomal RNA". It matches the Rfam family "Bacterial small subunit ribosomal RNA", at positions 524 to 778 of the family's 1533-position model. The record is from RNAcentral.
UACGGAGGGUGCGAGCGUUGUCCGGAAUCACUGGGCGUAAAGGGUGCGUAGGCGGUGGGGUAAGUUUGAGGUGAAAGCUCCGGGCUCAACCCGGAAACUGCCUUGAAAACUAUCCGGCUAGAGGGUUGGAGGGGAGACUGGAAUUCUCGGUGUAGCAGUGAAAUGCGUAGAUCUCGAGAGGAACACCAGUGGCGAAGGCGGGUCUCUGGACAACACCUGACGCUGAGGCACGAAAAGCCCAGGGGGAGCAAAACGGGG